Long non-coding RNA from Musa acuminata AAA Group (dessert banana), 1795 nucleotides. RefSeq lists it as uncharacterized. The record is from RefSeq and is a predicted model, not a curated record. NCBI's taxonomy places the organism in Eukaryota, Viridiplantae, Streptophyta, Magnoliopsida, Zingiberales, Musaceae. The transcript is spliced from 3 exons.
CGUCUUCUGUAGCACGGCCCGAAGAUGUAUGAUACUGAUGGGCCAACGCAGUAGGUUGCCCCUCGAUAACUUCAUUGGGCUCUCGGUCUCUCAAAUUACCUCGUCUCCGUCCCGUGUACUCCUCGUCUACCUCCUCCUCGCCUCUCACUUCAAGGCCGGACACCCCUCCCACUGCCACGCCCACGUCCCGCCUCCUCUUCCGCUACUCGGAGGAUUCGUCUCCGUUUAUCCGCUGGAAGAUGUCUCCGGAUCAAGGCCUGCGUAAAAUUUCAAUACCGACGUGUGUGUGUUUGUUGAGACCGGUUUGGUCUCUUUGGUGAAACAUGCUCAGAUGUUGUUUGAGGAUAUGCCUGUGAAAAAUGUUGUCUCUUGGACUGGAUCAUUAGUGCGUAUAAUGGUGACGAGAGGCUGGAAGAGGCGCUUGACACGUUCAGAAGCAUGUUGGAUAUGUGUUUGAGGCCAAAUAGUUUCACUUUAGUCAAGAUACUGACUGCUUGUUUUUGGUCACUUUGGUCGAUAGUAACAACAACAACAACAACAACAAAGCCGAAAGUCCCAACUAUCGAGAUAUACUAGAGUCAACAUGUGUGCUAAACGCGGAAGAAUGAAGAAAGCUCGCAUAAUUAUCGAGAUGUCCUAGAGUCCAAUGAUCUAUUGCAUUGUGGUGCAUCAGUUCUCCUGUUGGCUUGUAAAAUUUGUACAGCUGCAAGGAGUAAGUGGGUUACAUACAAGAGAUUCAUGUCGUUGACUCCUCGUUCGUGAGCCAAACAAGACCUGGUGAGCCGCACGUCAAAUAGCCAACUCAUUAGGACAUGCAUGCACCAAUCUUUUAUUUUGAUGGGUAAAAGUGUUCAGGAUGAUGUGGUUGCUGUUUCUCCAUCCACCUCUUCGCCAUGCCCAGCAAAGAGUUCAAAGGGAGUAAUCUCCUCUCUUGUCAUCAUCUCAUAACACUUGUAUUUGUUACAUAAUGAUAAAGAUUAUGUUAGUAUGGUUCAAAGGGAGUAAAGUUUCUCUUUCAUUUCGCUCCAACUGAUGUGUCUUUUGUUCUCUGAAGAAUAGAUUACAAAAAGGAUUCACAACUUCCACUCGUUUCCAUCAAGUGGGAGGAAAAAGAUGAAGUGAUCACGAUUAUGUGUAUAUCCACAUAAGAAUAAGAGAGAGAGAGAGAGAGAGAGAGAGAGAGAAGCAGCAAGCCAUGCUCCACCACCCACAUGCUGAAGCGAAAAAUCUUAUCUCAGACUUCUGAUAUGCUCUCGAGACGCGGCCUCCAUACGCCAACCCGCCCACUCCGCCGGCGGCGGUGACAUGCCUUCUUCUCCGAGACGAUCGCUGAGAGGCGGUCGUUGUCAUGGUCCGACUCCUUAGCGGCCACGUCGCCACCAGUUUUCUGGUGCCUCUUCUUCUUUAUCUCUUUGCCUGCAGGGCCUGGGAAUGCUGAUUCGGGAAUCAAGAAGUAGAUAUAGCCCCUCUUCAGGUCCGAGUCCGGCGACACGAUCAAGAUCUUGCGGGUGACUCCCUGGGAGCACGGCUUGCUGAUGAUGUGGUUCGGGUUGGCUGCCAGGAUCUCUCCGGCGGAGACCUGACGGCUGUACUCCUCGACUCGGCCAUUGAGAUGGACGAUUCGGAUGACGUCCAGCGCGCCACAGGGAAGAACGCAAGCCAAACAGCAUCUGAGGCUGUUCCCCAUGUUCUCUGCUUCUUCUGCUGCUUCUCUUCUUGUUGCGAGACUGCUAUAGGUUAUAUAUAGACGCUUAUCGCUGCAACUUCCAAUAAACUUAGUUGCCGCUUUAUAGAA